AUACGGAGGAUGCAAGCGUUAUCCGGAUUUAUUGGGUUUAAAGGGUGCGUAGGCGGGACUUUAAGUCAGUGGUGAAAUCUUGCAGCUUAACUGUAAAAUUGCCAUUGAUACUGAAGUUCUUGAAUAUAGUUGAGGUAGGCGGAAUGUGUAGUGUAGCGGUGAAAUGCAUAGAUAUUACACAGAACACCAAUUGCGAAGGCAGCUUACUAAGCUAUUAUUGACGCUGAGGCACGAAAGCGUGGGUAGCGAACAGGAUUAGAAACCCUAGUAGUCC
RNAcentral lists this ribosomal RNA (274 nucleotides) under uncultured bacterium. RNAcentral's name for it is "partial 16S ribosomal RNA". It matches the Rfam family "Bacterial small subunit ribosomal RNA", at positions 523 to 796 of the family's 1533-position model. The record is from RNAcentral.